Molecule: non-coding RNA, 1644 nt
Organism: Pelobates cultripes (western spadefoot toad)
Lineage: Eukaryota; Metazoa; Chordata; Amphibia; Anura; Pelobatidae
Source: the annotation of a GenBank genome assembly
ACUUUAUUUUCCAUGUAAUUGAGAUCUGGAAGACCAGACAUUGGAAGCAGAGAACUACCUGAAAGCUACACGGAUUUCUGUUUUCACAGUGAAAGUGUGAGUGAUCCAUUGGCACACAUCACUAUUAUAUUAUUAUACACUGCACUGUUAUUUUCUAUUUCCCUACAGUUGGAUUGACCCUAAUAUUUGUAUCCAUAAACUGGAGUAGUCCCAGAAGAUUGGAAGUUAGCGAACGUUGUGCCCAUUCACAAGAAAGGUAAUAGGGAGGAGUCGGGCAACUAUAGGCCAGUAAGCCUUACUUCAGUAGUGGGGAAAGUGGUGGGAACCAUGUUAAAGGAUAGGAUUGUUGAACAUUUAAAAUCACAUGGAUUUCAAUAUCAGAGACAGCAUGGGUUUACUUCAGGGAGAUCAUUCCAAACUUAUCUUAUUGAUUAUCUUGAUUGGUUAACUAAAAUAAUAGUUUAGGGUGGUGCAGUAGACAUUGCUUACCUAGAUUUCAGAUAUAAUUGUGAUCAAUUCACCUAAAUACCAGCGAAUUGUGUGAAUAUAUAAAAAUACUUAGCUUAGAUAUAUAUAUAUAUAUAUAUAUAUAUAUAUAUAUGUAUAUAUAUUUGCACUAUGUCCUUCAUUUUAGCUACUGCAGCAGGAUCCCUAAGUUUUCUUUGUGUAUUUAACUAGAUUUCAGUAAGGCUUUUGACACUGCUGCACAUAGAAGGCUCAUCAAUAAACUGCAAUCUUUAAGUAAGGUAUGUGUUUUUGCUGAUGAUACUAAGAUAUGUAACAGGGUUGAUGUUCCAGGAGGGAUAAGUUAAAUGUCAAAUGAUUUUGGUAAACUAGAAAAAUGGUCAGAGCUGUGGUAACUGACAUGUAAUGUGGAUAAGUGCAAGAUAAUGCAUCUUGGAUGUAAAACCCCAAGGGCGGAGUAUAGAAAAUUUGAUAGAGUCCUAACCUCCACAUCUGAUGAAAGGGAUUUAGGGGUAAUUAUUUCAGCUGACUUAAAGGUAGGCAGACAGUGUAAUAGAGCAGCAGGAAAUGUUAGCAGAAUGCUUGGGUGUAUAGGGAGAGGUAUUGGCAGUAGAAAGAGGGAAGUGCUCAUGCCACUGUAAAGAACACUGGUGAGACCUUACUUGGAGUAUUGUAUGCAGUACUGGAGACCGUAUCUCCAGAAGGAUAUUGAUACUUUGGAAAGAGCUCAGAGAAGGGCUACUAAACUGGUUAAUGGAUUACAGGAUAAAACUUACAAGGAAAGAUUAAAGGAUCUUAACAUGUAUAGCUUGAAGAAAAGACAAGAUGGGGGGAUACGAUAGAAACAUUUAAAUACAUAAAGGGAAUCAACACAGUAAAGGAGGAGACCAUAUUUAAAAGAAGAAAAACUACCAUAACAAGAGAACAGUCUUAACUUACAGGGGCAAAGGUUUAAAAAUAUCAGGGAAUAUUUUUACUGAGACGGUAGUGGAUGCAUGGAAUAGCCUUCUAGCUGAAGUAUUAGAUGUUACCACAGUGAAGGGUGAGGAUACGCAUAAGGCUAUACUAGCUGUAAGAUAAUACCAGGGACUAAUGAGAGAAUUUAGAAAAUUGGGCAGACUAGAUGGGUCGAAUGGUUCUUAUUUGCUGUCACAUUCCAUGUUUCUAUGCAUAGUCAAC